AUUGAACGCUGGCGGCAGGCCUAACACAUGCAAGUCGAACGGUAACAGGAAGCAGCUUGCUGCUUUGCUGACGAGUGGCGGACGGGUGAGUAAUGUCUGGGAAACUGCCCGAUGGAGGGGGAUAACUACUGGAAACGGUAGCUAAUACCGCAUAACGUCGCAAGACCAAAGAGGGGGACCUUAGGGCCUCUUGCCAUCGGAUGUGCCCAGAUGGGAUUAGCUAGUAGGUGGGGUAACGGCUCACCUAGGCGACGAUCCCUAGCUGGUCUGAGAGGAUGACCAGCCACACUGGAACUGAGACACGGUCCAGACUCCUACGGGAGGCAGCAGUGGGGAAUAGUGCACAAUGGGCGCAAGCCUGAUGCAGCCAUGCCGCGUGUAUGAAGAAGGCCUUCGGGUUGUAAAGUACUUUCAGCGGGGAGGAAGGGAGUAAAGUUAAUACCUUUGCUCAUUGACGUUACCCGCAGAAGAAGCACCGGCUAACUCCG
Molecule: ribosomal RNA, 488 nt
Filed under: uncultured bacterium
Lineage: Bacteria
Description: partial 16S ribosomal RNA
Rfam family: Bacterial small subunit ribosomal RNA
Source: RNAcentral